CCGGCGGAGAAGGCGCGGGCCAUCUCCCCGAAGAGGAGCGAGUUCAUCAUCCUCCCGGCCGGGAGCCCUCGCAGCAGGGAGGGGGAGCGACGGGGACUGGGAUCCUGUCAGCAGCGGGGGCGGAUUGCAGUGGUAUGUCUAUACCCUUGGAGAUGUGUGAAGUGAUGAUAAACAUUCUGGAAACAGAAGCACCUGGAACAGACCCAAGCAGAUGAUUGGGUGAGUUCAGCAGGAAAGGAUUCAGCAGGAUCCUUUGAAAUGGGCCAGUUCCUUUCGCUAGACCCAUCUGCAAAUUAGGAAGAAAAAGAAAAGCUGACACAUAUAUAUAUUGAGAGACAAGGGGACAGUGCAACUCUUCUUUGGGAAACACCAUGCCGACUGUGCAUUAAGAUCUGAAGCUACCCUGUGAGUGAGGUAAUGUGCAAACAUGCUAAUGAAGACUUCUGAAACCUGAACACAAGGCCGCAGAGAGAGUGUGACCAGUGGCUAGAGUUCCAGAGGAGAAGCGGCCACAGGCCAGGGAAUAACAUACACUGAUCCUGGAUGCUGCUGAAUUUGCCGGGCCUCUGCUAAGAAAAUGUGUGCUAAUUCUCCACAGUUACGAACAAUGUUGGGAGCCCUAAAUAUAGACAGCCCACUGAUUUCAGGUGUCUGGCACUGGCCACUGUUGAAAGACAGGAUACU
Long non-coding RNA from Chelonia mydas (Green sea turtle), 684 nucleotides. RefSeq lists it as uncharacterized. Lineage: Eukaryota; Metazoa; Chordata; Testudines; Cheloniidae. The record is from RefSeq and is a predicted model, not a curated record. The transcript has 4 exons.